UACGGAGGGAGCUAGCGUUGUUCGGAAUUACUGGGCGUAAAGCGCACGUAGGCGGCUAUUCAAGUCGGGUGUGAAAGCCCGGGGCUCAACCGCGGAACUGCCCUCGAAACGAGGUAGCUAGAAUCUUGGAGAGGUCAGUGGAAUUCCGAGUGUAGAGGUGAAAUGCGUAGAUAUUCGGAAGAACACCAGUGGCGAAGGCGACUGACUGGACAAGUAUUGACGCUGAGAUGCGAAAGCGUGGGGAGCGAACAGG
RNAcentral lists this ribosomal RNA (253 nucleotides) under uncultured bacterium. RNAcentral's name for it is "partial 16S ribosomal RNA". It matches the Rfam family "Bacterial small subunit ribosomal RNA", at positions 524 to 776 of the family's 1533-position model. The record is from RNAcentral.